CCGCGACUAGCUCAACCGGCAGAGCGCCUGGCUUACAUCCAGGAGGCUGGGGGUUCGAACCCCUCGUCGCGGACCA
RNAcentral lists this transfer RNA (76 nucleotides) under Planctomycetota bacterium. RNAcentral describes it as "Planctomycetes bacterium (activated sludge metagenome) tRNA-Val". It matches the Rfam family "tRNA". From Rfam's summary of the family: Transfer RNA (tRNA) molecules are approximately 80 nucleotides in length. Their secondary structure includes four short double-helical elements and three loops (D, anti-codon, and T loops). Lineage: Bacteria; Pseudomonadati; Planctomycetota. The record is from RNAcentral.